Long non-coding RNA from Cyprinus carpio carpio, 1004 nucleotides. The record is from Ensembl. NCBI's taxonomy places the organism in Eukaryota, Metazoa, Chordata, Actinopteri, Cypriniformes, Cyprinidae.
AUGUCAGGUCUUUGGCUAGCCCUUUCCCUUCCCAGCCAGAAGUGCUGGUCUACACCAUCCAUGCCAAGAUUUUCCAUAAUCUGGCCACUCGCUUUCCAUUGGGUGCAAUACAUAAAAUGGAACGGUCAGUUUAAUGUCAACUGUCCAGCCUUAACUCACAAAACUUGUAUCAUUUUACAGAUAAGAUCCUUUGUUUUGACAUGCAUAGUGCAUAGUGCAAUUUGAUGACUAACCUUUUAACUUAUUUCAACUUUUUUUUUUUUUCAGAACAGCCAAGUUAUGAUUAAAAGAUAAGUCACAAUUUAUUUUCUAGUUCAAUUUGUCUUAUUUGUAAUGUCAUGUACUCGGCUUUUAAACAAAUUAUGACUGUGUUUGCUUUUUUGAAAACAAGGGCAGCUGUUAUUUUUCUCAACCUCUCAAAGCACACAAGCAUCCUGCCUGCAGUCCAGUUCCUUGCUAACGACCGCAGAGGAUUAAAAUGAAAAUGACACUCUUCCUUAAUAAAGACAUACAUUUGAGUGUUUAAGACAGAAAUGCUUCUGCUGCCAUAUAGCCUGAUCGUGCUUAAGUGUGCAACAUGCCUGUUUGAGGGUCACUCCGUGGGUAAGAGUUUUUAACAUGAAAGUCUGACCUUGGAGAAGCUGAUAGACAGCUCAGACACAUGUUGAGUAUUGCUCUCCUAUCACGCUCAUUCUCCACAGCGUUCCACAGGUGGAAGCUCUCCGGACAUUCCUCACUCCUGACGUGAACAAGUGAAUAGAAUAAAGCAGUCUGUAAAUCUGGCACAUCACACUUAUUGACACAAAUCACAGAUUUAUGGACUCGCGGCCAUGUGUGUGUGCAUUAAAGGAAGUGUAAAGCACAUGUUUUGCAGCUUAACUUCACACAUAUACCUGCAGCCUUCAGCAGACGCUUAAUGCCCCUCGCUUUGGUUUCAGGAGGAAUAAUGUGAGUAAAUGAAUCUGGCAUAUGGGAGUUGAUUCAAUUUAUUCAGUGUGUUAAAC